UUUCUGUCUGCCUCUCAUUGGCAAACAUGACAUUUCAGCAAUUUCUCUAAAGAGGAAUGACUGGGGGGUAUGUACAGCAGGCAUCAUGUAAGAAAAACUCACACCUCACGACAUAUUUGUUUGAUUUAUUCAGCAGACUUCAGCAAAGGAAAGAUGUGAAAGCAACCCUUGAUUGUUGAUUUUUUGUUCAUUCUGAAAAUCACAUCGCCAGAUCCAACACCUUUUUAUCCCAAUCACCAGUACAAGCCACCCGUAUCAGUGUACACUGUGGCUGACCGAUCCAUAGUGAUGCUUUGAGCACAAGGAAGGACUUUCUGGAAUCUACUUAUCUGACCAAGAAAGCUUCUUUCCAAAAGAAAUGCAAUUGUCUUGAGACUUCUUCCCUAGGGAUCUGAUCAACUAACCAGAAAAGAGCAACCACCAGAGAAGAGACUAUUGUGGUCUACUCUAUAGAAGGGAUCAUGCUUUGAACCUCAUCUUGAAAGGAGAUUCAAUCUUUCCUUCUUGCUCCUAAUAUCAACAGAGGGUGGAA
This 532-nucleotide long non-coding RNA is filed under the name Homo sapiens (human). Its description in RNAcentral is "HSALNT0320930". Lineage: Eukaryota; Metazoa; Chordata; Mammalia; Primates; Hominidae. The record is from RNAcentral.